This 371-nucleotide unclassified non-coding RNA is filed under the name Hevea brasiliensis (rubber tree). The record is from RNAcentral. Lineage: Eukaryota; Viridiplantae; Streptophyta; Magnoliopsida; Malpighiales; Euphorbiaceae.
AAUGCCAUAUUUCUUCAGGCAAGAUAUUCCGAAUCCCUUAACCAGCCCUGCAAGUCCAAAUGCUGCACCACGACGCUCUCCGUAUUUUUCACUCUUCAUUAGCUGAUCCAAAAGCCUAGAAACCAGAGAUGGUGCAUCCUCCUGUUUUGCUUGCAUAAGUGGAGAAAGGCAGGUAGCGACAGCUCGCUGAACAGCUUCAGACGGAGUAUUCAGUACAUCCAGCAACUUCUCUACAACUGUGUGAACCUUAGGGUCAUCCUUGGCCAAAUGCUUUGCCAAAGCUCCAGUAAAUAUAACCACACCUUCACGGACCAGAUCAUACUUCUCCUCAUCUGAAGCCUUUUUGUUCAAGUAGUUUUCGAAAAUAGGGA